GUUUAUAAAGUGUAAUUUUAUUUUAUGUUACUCUGCUGUUACAUAGGGCAUAACAUUUUCACAAGGCUUUUUUGGGACUACAGUCAAUGAUUAGCAACACACAAUAGUGUUCCAACUCUAACAAUCACUAGACAAACAGGACACCCUCUCACGUGCACAGAUCUGCAUAGAAAAGUACAAAAGUUUUAAAUUUAGACUUGUGUACUUUAAUUUGUUUCCCCUUUCUAGUGUAUUAAAAAAUGACAUGCACUUUAAUUUGCCAAAAGCAAUGUUGUAUUCUGGCAGCAACAUGCUACUUCUAUUACAUAGUAAAGUGAAUACCAGAACUACAAAGACAGGAGGUAUAAGUGAAUUUUUAUUGGGAAGGGAGGUUGUCAACUUAAACAGCAGCAAAUAAAGAGUGAAUAAGGAAACUCCCUGUUGCCACAGAUAUACAUGACCUCCUUAUGUGAUAAAGGAGGCAUUUCAAUUUGUGAACCAUAGCCAGAGAUGGCAAGUGCGUUUUCAUUCAGUCUAAUACUUCUGGAUUCCUACUAAAAAGGAAUACAUUAAGAGCAUGGAAAAAUUGCUUAUUGAAAGGAAACCCUCGAAGAGUAAGGGAGGGAAUGUAGAAAUUAAGUUAUGUAGAACACUCUUUAAAUUGUAAUUAACUACAUUUUUAUAUCUUCACAGUAAUACAAAACACAGUCACUUGCAGAACUGUUUCAGAUUACUUAAAUACCAGAUACAUUUUUAGUCCUCUACAGCAGUAACUGCACACCAGGAAGGCCAAGACAAACACAAAUCAGGGAAUGAAGUUUUCCCAAAGCUGCAGUGUGAAAAGACUAAAAACAGUUGACUCCAAACACAUGAAUCGGUUUCUUUGCUAUAGGAAAUCCAAGUGGAAUAAGGAAUGGAGAUGUGUAAAAAGGUUUCUUGAAGGAAAGAAGGAGGACACCCUGUAUGUAUUUAGUUUUCAGCCCCUUCUACUGCCUCACAUUCUUCUCCUGCACUGUCUGAUGUCCAAAGUGUUAGGUUGUCUCUAAGCAAUUGCAUGAUGAGGGUUCUUGUCGGAGGUGUCAGUCUUCUGCUCAAUGUUCAAGAUGAGCCUCCAGGCGGACCUGCAGCCCCCGACCACAUUCUAAUAAGGAGCAGGUUGCGCUCCUUAUUAGACAGCUCGGCGACCUACUUGGUCACAGCCUUCAUGCAGGUGGCCAUGUCAUCGUAGUGCUCUGCCUGCUUGGCCAGCUUGGCCUUCAGGAUCAGCUCCCUCUUCUCCUUGACGGGUGCAGGGCAGAGGGCAAAGAGAGCAAGGGCAAGCGCCGACCCGGAGCAGGAGGAGUCCUUCAGAGCUUCACAUCUCCGUGGCCACAACUAGAGUCCCACCACUUUGAUCUGCCUUUUAGAUAAGUAUUUUUUAAGAAGCCACAUCUCCCUGAAUUCAUCUCGAUUUUAACACAAUCCCACUCCAAAUCCCAGCCAGUUUUUAAAAUAAAAAUGGACAAGUUGAUUCCAGAAUUUACAUGGAUGGAAAAAUAAAGGUCUUAACCAUAGCCAAAGCAAUGUUGAAAGGUAAAACAAAGUUGAGAGCUAAUUUAAAGACUUACUGUAAAGCUGCAGUAAUCAAGAUUGUAGGUUUAGGAUAAGAGAGAAAGAGAUCAAUGGACAGAGCAGAAAGAAACACACACAUAAAUAUGGCCAAUUCCGUUUUAACAAAGCUGUCAAGGCAAUUCAGUAGGGAAAGAAAAGGCUUUUUAACAUAUGGUGCAGGAACGACCCUGAUAAACAUGGAGGGGAAAUGAACUUUACCCCACCUCACACAACACAAAAUUUAAUUUAAGAUGAUGGGGCCGGGCACAGUGGCUCACACCUGUACCCUAGCACUUUGAGAGGCUGCGGCAGACAGAUUGCCUGAUCUCAAGAGUUCAAGACCAGCCUGGGCAAUAUGGUGAAACCCCGUUUGUAUUAAAAAUACAAAAAUUAGCUGUGCAUGGUGGCCCACGGCUGUAAUCCCAGCUACUCAGGAAGCUGAGGUCCGAGAAUCACUUGAAUGCUUGAACUCGGGAGGCAGAAGUUGCUGUGAGCCGAGAUGGCAUCACUGCGCUCCAGCCUGGGCAACAGAGAGAGACUGUCUCCACUGUCUCCAAAAAAAAAGAAAAAAAAAAGAUGAUAGAAUCAUAGACCUCAAAGAAAAUGUGGAAAAAUAUCUUCGAAACCAUGAUAUGCUAGGAUUUCUUGAAGAGAACAUUAAAAGCACUGAACAUUUUUCUUAAAUGAAUUGGACUUCAUUGAAAAGAAAGAUGUAUUUUCUCCAUUAUUCAUUGUGAUUCCUUUUUCUUUUUUUAAUAUGAUGACCAUAAAAUGUAUUACUUGGUGGUUGAAAUUUUUCAAGAGCUUGUUGGGGUUUGUUGAAUUUUUUGAACCAUAAGAUAAUGUUUUUCACCAAAUUUGGGACUUUUUUGACUUAUUUCUUCAAAUUUCUCCCCUUUUUCUUCUAGGGAUCCUCCAAUUUAUGCUGAUAAAUUGUCUCAUGGAUCUCACUGAGACUCAGUUCAUUUUUCUUUUAUUCUCUUUGGUCUCCAAAUCAGAUCAUUUUUACUUAAGUUCACUGAUUUAGCUCAUGUGAAUUUUUCAUUCAUCUGUUGUACUUUUCAGCUCCAGAAUUUCCAUUUAGUUCUCUUUGUACUUUAGAUUUUUCUGUUGAGAGCCUAUAUAUGUUCAGUUGCUAUUAGUAUAUUUUUAUUGAAUUAUUUCAGCAUAUUUAGAGUAACUGCUUUGAAGUCUUAGGCUGCUAAAUUCAGUAUCUGGACCCAUUCAGAAUCAGUUUUAGUUGGCUGCCUUCUUUCCCAAGUUAUGUGUCACACUUUCCUGUUUUUUUAUAUGUCUUACUUUCUUAUUAAAAGCUAGACAUUUUUAAGAUCAGCAGUCCCCAACCUUUUUGUCACCAAGGACCAGUUUCAUGGAAGACAAUUUUUCCACGGACUGGUGGGGGGUCAUGUAUUUGGGAUGAAAUUGUUUUACCUCAGAUCAUCAGGCAUUAGAUUCUCAUAAGGAGUGCACAACCUAGAUCUGUUGCAUGCUCGUUUCACAAUAGGAUUUGCACUCUUGUGAUCUCAUGCCACCCUUAUCUGACAGGAGGCAGAACUCAGGUAGUAAUGCUUGCUUGCCCACCCACUGCUGCUCCUGCUGGGUGGCCCAGUUCCUAACAGGCCACUGACCAGUACCAGUCUAUGGUCCAGAUUUUGGGGACCCCUCUUUUAGAUAGUACACUGUAGUGUGUCUGCAUUUGGUUUGUUCUGAAUGCUUGCCUAGACUAAAACUGCAGUCUCUCUCUCUUACUUACAGUGUAUCUCUCUGUUCAGAUGUUUCCCUCUAACCCUAGCUAGCUCCCUAGGGGGCCUCACCUGAACUUGAUUAGUUUAGUGGUCAACAAAUGAAUUGAGCAGGCAGCUCAAAUACCUCAAAGGCUUCCACCCUCUGUCAUCUGAGCUGUGUGUGGAUUAGAGAAUACAUUCAGAGUCACAGCAAAUUGACGUCUCCCCAGGCUUUCAGUUUUUGCCAGACUCUGGGAUAUUCCACAUACAUGCCUACGUUAGCAGUCAGGCAGGGAUCUGGCAAGUUUAUUAUCAGGCUUUCAUAGCCCUCUUGCUUCCAGAUUUCAUCCUUAAAUGGAAUCUGUAACCUCCAGCCAGUAAAACUUGUAUUUUCAUUGCCUAACUUGGGGAUAAUGGAAACACCCCCAGGUAGGAAGACCAUAAAUCCACAGUUCUUACCCUAUGCGGUUUUUCAUGAGUAAACUUAUCACCGUUGGUUGUUUUCCCGUGCCCUGAAGUUGUUUUUAACAAUUUGCCCAGUUUUAUACACCCAUCUUUCUUAACACUAUUAUCAAAAAUACAGUCAUGGUAACAUUGUUUUAGCUGUGUCCCUUGGGGCCAAUAUGUAGUUGGACAUUCAUUUUUAUUGUGGUGGUAAUUGUAUUUUUUUAAAUUUAGGCCAGGCACAGUGGUUCAGGCCCGUAAUCCCACUACUUUAGGAGGCCAAGGCGGGUGGAUCACCUGAGGUCAGGAGUUCGAGACCAGCCUGGCCAACAUGGUGAAACUCCAUCUCUACUGAAAAUACAAAAAUUAGCCAAGUGUGGUAGUGGGCGCCUGUAAGCCCAGCUACUCAGGAGGCUGAGGCAGGAG
RNAcentral lists this long non-coding RNA (4163 nucleotides) under Homo sapiens (human). Its description in RNAcentral is "HSALNT0315005". Lineage: Eukaryota; Metazoa; Chordata; Mammalia; Primates; Hominidae. The record is from RNAcentral.